CCUACGGGAGGCAGCAGUGGGGAAUAUUGCACAAUGGGGGCAACCCUGAUGCAGCAAUACCGCGUGUGUGAAGAAGGCCCGAGGGUUGUAAAGCACUUUCAAUAGUGAAGAAAAGCUCAUGGUUAAUACCCAUGGGUCUUGACGUUAACUAUACAAGAAGCACCGGCUAACUCCGUGCCAGCAGCCGCGGUAAUACGGAGGGUGCAAGCGUUAAUCGGAAUUACUGGGCGUAAAGCGUGCGUAGGCGGUUUACUAAGUCAGAUGUGAAAGCCCCGGGCUUAACCUGGGAACUGCAUUUGAUACUGGUAGGCUAGAGUAUGAUAGAGGGGGGUAGAAUUCCUGGUGUAGCGGUGAAAUGCGUAGAUAUCAGGAGGAAUACCAGUGGCGAAGGCGGCCCCCUGGAUCAAUACUGACGCUGAGGUACGAAAGCGUGGGUAGCGAACAGGAUUAGAUACCCUGGUAGUCCACGCCGUAAACGAUGAGAACUAGCCGUUGGGGUCUUGAGAUCUCAGUGGCGCAGCUAACGCGUGAAGUUCUCCGCCUGGGGACUACGGCCGCAAGGCUAAAACUCAAAUGAAUUGACGGA
Molecule: ribosomal RNA, 586 nt
Filed under: uncultured bacterium
Lineage: Bacteria
Description: bacterial SSU rRNA
Rfam family: Bacterial small subunit ribosomal RNA
Source: RNAcentral